CUUGUGAUGUAAGACUGGUGAUCGCAAGAUUAUCAGCANCCUGAUCCCUUCCCGAACUCAGAAGUGAAACGACGCAUCGCCGAUGGUAGUGUGGGGUCUCCCCAUGUGAGAGUAGGUCAUCGUCAAGC
This 128-nucleotide ribosomal RNA is filed under the name Pseudomonas aeruginosa. The record is from RNAcentral. Lineage: Bacteria; Pseudomonadati; Pseudomonadota; Gammaproteobacteria; Pseudomonadales; Pseudomonadaceae.